This 540-nucleotide ribosomal RNA is filed under the name Sticta sp. RL-2013ae. RNAcentral describes it as "eukaryotic LSU rRNA". It matches the Rfam family "Eukaryotic large subunit ribosomal RNA", at positions 92 to 646 of the family's 3401-position model. The record is from RNAcentral. Lineage: Eukaryota; Fungi; Ascomycota; Lecanoromycetes; Peltigerales; Lobariaceae.
AGUGAAGCGGCAACAGCUCAAAUUUGAAAUCUGGCCCCCUCGGGGUCCGAGUUGUAAUUUGUAGAGGGUGUUUCGGGCGCGAUGCCGGUCUAAGUUCCUUGGAACAGGACGUCGUAGAGGGUGAGAAUCCCGUAUGCGACCGGCGAUCAAGCCCGUGCGAAGCCCCUUCGACGAGUCGAGUUGUUUGGGAAUGCAGCUCAAAAUGGGUGGUAAAUUUCAUCUAAAGCUAAAUAUUGGCCAGAGACCGAUAGCGGACAAGUAGAGUGAUCGAAAGAUGAAAAGCACUUUGGAAAGAGAGUCAAACAGUACGUGAAAUUGUUGAAAGGGAAGCGCUUACAAUCAGACCGGUCCGGAGGCGAUCAGCCGCUGCUCGUCAGCGGUGCACUCGCCUGCGAUCCGGCCAGCAUCGGUUUGGGCGGCGGGAUAAAAGUCCCGGGAAUGUAGCUUCCUCCGGGGAGUCUUAUAGCCCGGGUCGCAAUGCCGCCCGCCCGGACCGAGGACCGCGCUUCGGCUAGGAUGCUGGCGUAAUGGUUGCAAGCG